RNAcentral lists this long non-coding RNA (689 nucleotides) under Carica papaya (papaya). Its description in RNAcentral is "long non-coding RNA (CPAP_LNC001962)". The record is from RNAcentral. Lineage: Eukaryota; Viridiplantae; Streptophyta; Magnoliopsida; Brassicales; Caricaceae.
AAAAUACCCUUUAAGAAAUUUAAAGAAAUAUUAAAUUCCUUACUAAAACCUUGAUAAUUUCUUCAACACCGUUCUUCUUUUCCUCCUCUUUUUCUCUCUAUAUCACUUUCUCUCUCUAUAACUCUUGAAAGGUGGAAGAAUGGAAGUGUGGAGAAAAUGGGAGGAAGGGCUCGUAUUUAUAGAAAAUGGAAGCCAUUAGAUUUGCACCAAAUGGCCAAAUUUAGUGAAUAGAGAGAGAGUAAAAGAUGCUUGGCAUGAAAAAUGGAGGAAAAAACCCUCCCCCACCGGUGGCGGCACCACCACCAACAGCACGCCACCCGAGGUGGGUAGUAGCACACUUCCCAAGGUGGCAGUGGCCUUACCCACCCGGUAUGUGCGCUACAGGCCUAGUCUGCAGGUGUUGAGCUACCCUACCAUGUGCAAGUGCUAACCUGCGCGCUAGGUCGCUGCGCAUAAGCCUACUAUGUGCAGGCCCAAUGUGCGUAGGCCUGUCCGUGCAGGCCUACUGCAUAGAUGACAUGCGCGUAGUGUGCGACGUGUCUUACCUGCACGCAACAAGACAUGUGUGCAGGCCUUUCCUCCACACCACACGUGAUGGGAUGUGCGCACUGUUCGCACGUCCUGCAACUGUCGCGUGCACAUGCGCACAGGCACCAGCUCGGGCAACCCAUUUUCGCAGGAUUUUUUGG